GCCUUGGGGGGGUGCUAAUACAUGCAGUCGAGCGGACAGAAGGGAGCUUGCUCCCGGAUGUUAGCGGCGGACGGGUGAGUAACACGUGGGUAACCUGCCUGUAAGACUGGGAUAACUCCGGGAAACCGGAGCUAAUACCGGAUAGUUCCUUGAACCGCAUGGUUCAAGGAUGAAAGACGGUUUCGGCUGUCACUUACAGAUGGACCCGCGGCGCAUUAGCUAGUUGGUGGGGUAAUGGCUCACCAAGGCGACGAUGCGUAGCCGACCUGAGAGGGUGAUCGGCCACACUGGGACUGAGACACGGCCCAGACUCCUACGGGAGGCAGCAGUAGGGAAUCUUCCGCAAUGGACGAAAGUCUGACGGAGCAACGCCGCGUGAGUGAUGAAGGUUUUCGGAUCGUAAAGCUCUGUUGUUAGGGAAGAACAAGUGCGAGAGUAACUGCUCGCACCUUGACGGUACCUAACCAGAAAGCCACGGCUAACUACGUGCCAGCAGCCGCGGUAAUACGUAGGUGGCAAGCGUUGUCCGGAAUUAUUGGGCGUAAAGGGCUCGCAGGCGGUUUCUUAAGUCUGAUGUGAAAGCCCCCGGCUCAACCGGGGAGGGUCAUUGGAAACUGGGAAACUUGAGUGCAGAAGAGGAGAGUGGAAUUCCACGUGUAGCGGUGAAAUGCGUAGAGAUGUGGAGGAACACCAGUGGCGAAGGCGACUCUCUGGUCUGUAACUGACGCUGAGGAGCGAAAGCGUGGGGAGCGAACAGGAUUAGAUACCCUGGUAGUCCACGCCGUAAACGAUGAGUGCUAAGUGUUAGGGGGUUUCCGCCCCUUAGUGCUGCAGCUAACGCAUUAAGCACUCCGCCUGGGGAGUACGGUCGCAAGACUGAAACUCAAAGGAAUUGACGGGGGCCCGCACAAGCGGUGGAGCAUGUGGUUUAAUUCGAAGCAACGCGAAGAACCUUACCAGGUCUUGACAUCCUCUGACAACCCUAGAGAUAGGGCUUUCCCUUCGGGGACAGAGUGACAGGUGGUGCAUGGUUGUCGUCAGCUCGUGUCCUGAAAUGUUGGGUUAAGUCCCGCAACGAGCGCAACCCUUGAUCUUAGUUGCCAGCAUUCAGUUGGGCACUCUUAAGGGGACUGCCGGGGAACAAACCGGAGGAAAGGUGGGGAAGAACGCCAAAUCUUCUUGCCCCCUUUGAACCGGGGGUUAACACGGGGUUCAAUGGGACAAAAAAAAAGGGGUGCAAGAACCGCAAGGUUUUAGCCCAUUCCCCUAAAAAUUGUUUCUAAUUUUGGGAAUCAAAGUUUGGAAUCUCACAUGCGGUGAAAAUGGGAAUCCCUAGUAAAUCCCGGAACAACAUUCCCCCCGGGAAUAAAUUCCCCGGCC
Molecule: ribosomal RNA, 1380 nt
Filed under: Bacillus wiedmannii
Lineage: Bacteria; Bacillati; Bacillota; Bacilli; Caryophanales; Bacillaceae
Description: bacterial SSU rRNA
Rfam family: Bacterial small subunit ribosomal RNA
Source: RNAcentral